This 253-nucleotide ribosomal RNA is filed under the name uncultured bacterium. RNAcentral's name for it is "partial 16S ribosomal RNA". It matches the Rfam family "Bacterial small subunit ribosomal RNA", at positions 524 to 776 of the family's 1533-position model. The record is from RNAcentral.
UACAUGGGGUGCAAACGUUGCUCGGAAUUAUUGGGCGUAAAGCGCACGUAGGCGGUUUGUUAAGUCGGAUGUGAAAUCCCUCGGCUCAACUGAGGAAGUGCAUCCGAAACUGGCGAUCUCGAGUCCGGGAGAGGUGAGUGGAACUGCGAGUGUAGAGGUGAAAUUCGUAGAUAUUCGCAAGAACACCAGUGGCGAAGGCGGCUCACUGGCCCGGUACUGACGCUGAGGUGCGAAAGUGUGGGGAGCAAACAGG